This 1371-nucleotide ribosomal RNA is filed under the name uncultured bacterium. Its description in RNAcentral is "bacterial SSU rRNA". It matches the Rfam family "Bacterial small subunit ribosomal RNA", at positions 28 to 1381 of the family's 1533-position model. The record is from RNAcentral.
GAUGAACGCUGGCGGCGUGCCUAAUACAUGCAAGUCGAGCGAACGGACGAGAAGCUUGCUUCUCUGAUGUUAGCGGCGGACGGGUGAGUAACACGUGGAUAACCUACCUAUAAGACUGGGAUAACUUCGGGAAACCGUAGCUAAUACCGGAUAAUAUUUUGAACCGCAUGGUUCAAAAGUGAAAGACGGUCUUGCUGUCACUUAUAGAUGGAUCCGCGCUGCAUUAGCUAGUUGGUAAGGUAACGGCUUACCAAGGCAACGAUGCAUAGCCGACCUGAGAGGGUGAUCGGCCACACUGGAACUGAGACACGGUCCAGACUCCUACGGGAGGCAGCAGUAGGGAAUCUUCCGCAAUGGGCGAAAGCCUGACGGAGCAACGCCGCGUGAGUGAUGAAGGUCUUCGGAUCGUAAAACUCUGUUAUUAGGGAAGAACAUAUGUGUAAGUAACUGUGCACAUCUUGACGGUACCUAAUCAGAAAGCCACGGCUAACUACGUGCCAGCAGCCGCGGUAAUACGUAGGUGGCAAGCGUUAUCCGGAAUUAUUGGGCGUAAAGCGCGCGUAGCGGUUUUUUAAGUCUGAUGUGAAAGCCCACGGCUCAACCGUGGAGGGUCAUUGGAAACUGGAAAACUUGAGUGCAGAAGAGGAAAGUGGAAUUCCAUGUGUAGCGGUGAAAUGCGCAGAGAUAUGGAGGAACACCAGUGGCGAAGGCGACUUUCUGGUCUGUAACUGACGCUGAUGUGCGAAAGCGUGGGGAUCAAACAGGAUUAGAUACCCUGGUAGUCCACGCCGUAAACGAUGAGUGCUAAGUGUUAGGGGGUUUCCGCCCCUUAGUGCUGCAGCUAACGCAUUAAGCACUCCGCCUGGGGAGUACGACCGCAAGGUUGAAACUCAAAGGAAUUGACGGGGACCCGCACAAGCGGUGGAGCAUGUGGUUUAAUUCGAAGCAACGCGAAGAACCUUACCAAAUCUUGACAUCCUUUGACAACUCUAGAGAUAGAGCCUUCCCCUUCGGGGGACAAAGUGACAGGUGGUGCAUGGUUGUCGUCAGCUCGUGUCGUGAGAUGUUGGGUUAAGUCCCGCAACGAGCGCAACCCUUAAGCUUAGUUGCCAUCAUUAAGUUGGGCACUCUAAGUUGACUGCCGGUGACAAACCGGAGGAAGGUGGGGAUGACGUCAAAUCAUCAUGCCCCUUAUGAUUUGGGCUACACACGUGCUACAAUGGACAAUACAAAGGGCAGCGAAACCGCGAGGUCAAGCAAAUCCCAUAAAGUUGUUCUCAGUUCGGAUUGUAGUCUGCAACUCGACUACAUGAAGCUGGAAUCGCUAGUAAUCGUAGAUCAGCAUGCUACGGUGAAUACGUUCCCGGGUCU